RNAcentral lists this ribosomal RNA (497 nucleotides) under uncultured bacterium. Its description in RNAcentral is "partial 16S ribosomal RNA". It matches the Rfam family "Bacterial small subunit ribosomal RNA", at positions 28 to 507 of the family's 1533-position model. The record is from RNAcentral.
GAUGAACGCUGGCGGCGUGCCUAAUACAUGCAAGUCGAGCGAACGGACGAGAAGCUUGCUUUUCUGAUGUUAGCGGCGGACGGGUGAGUAACACGUGGAUAACCUACAUAUAAGACUGGGAUAACUUCGGGAAACCGGAGCUAAUACCGGAUAAUAUUUUGCACCGCAUGGUUCAAAAGUGACAGACGGUCUUGCUGUCACUUAUAGAUGGAUCCGCGCUGCAUUAGAUAGUUGGUAAGGUAAGGGCUUACCAAGGCAAGGAGGAAUAGCCAACCUAGGGGGUGGUCCGGCCACACUGCAACUGGAACACGGUCCAGACUCCUACGGGGGGCCGCAGUAGGCAACUUUCCGCAAUGGGCGAAAGCCUUACUGAGCAACGCCCCGUGGGUUGUGAGGGCCUUCGGAUCGUAAAACUCUGUUAUUAGGGAACAACAUAUUUGUUAGUAACUGAGCACAUCUUGACGGUACCUAAUCAGAAAGCCUCGGCUAACUACGUG